Molecule: long non-coding RNA, 439 nt
Organism: Mytilus californianus (California mussel)
Lineage: Eukaryota; Metazoa; Mollusca; Bivalvia; Mytilida; Mytilidae
Exons: 3
Source: RefSeq, a predicted model, not a curated record
AAGUGGUACGACUCGGGCUGCAAUCAAAAGUCUGCCUUAGCAGCUGCUGUUAGUGCGAAAUCAAACUUUGAUCCGGACUUAUUUCUGGGACCACCUUGCUCAUCUGCUAUGAGAGAAGUUGCACAACUAGCUUCUAUCUGGAGAAGACCUGUAUUUGGUUGGGUGUCCAACGAUAUCGAAUUCAGUAACAGAACAAAAUAUUCCACCUUAAUCCGGUUGCUCGGACCUUUAAACAAGCUUCCCAGUGUGAUGCGUUUUGUUUCUAAGAUGUUUAAAUGGAAAAUAUUUUCUAUGAUCCACGAUGAGGCUGCACCGUAUGCGGCUGUAGCAGCAGCCAUUGCAGAGGAUAAAGAUGCGACCAUAAGAAGUACGCAUGAAGUUAACGUACGGAUGGAGGAUAAUGAAAUAGAAAGCAUAUUCAAACAAGUUCGUAAAAACU